AUUGAACGCUGGCGGCAGGCCUAACACAUGCAAGUCGAACGGUAACAGGAAACAGCUUGCUGUUUCGCUGACGAGUGGCGGACGGGUGAGUAAUGUCUGGGAAACUUCCUGAUGGAGGGGGAUAACUACUGGAAACGGUAGCUAAUACCGCAUAACGUCGCAAGACCAAAGAGGGGGACCUUCGGGCCUCUUGCCAUCGGAUGUGCCCAGAUGGGAUUAGCUAGUAGGUGGGGUAACGGCUCACCUAGGCGACGAUCCCUAGCUGGUCUGAGAGGAUAACCAGCCACACUUGAAAUGAGACACGGUACAGACUCCUACGAGAGGCAGCAGUGGGGAAUAUUGCACAAUGGGCGCAAGCCUGAUGCAGUCAUGCCGCGUGUAUGAAGAAGGCCUUCGGGUUGUAAAGUACUUUCAGCGGGGAGGAAGGGAGUAAAGUUAAUACCUUUACUCAUUGACGUUACCCGAAGAAGAAGCACCGGCUAACUCCGUG
This 490-nucleotide ribosomal RNA is filed under the name uncultured bacterium. RNAcentral's name for it is "partial 16S ribosomal RNA". It matches the Rfam family "Bacterial small subunit ribosomal RNA", at positions 30 to 507 of the family's 1533-position model. The record is from RNAcentral.